Molecule: ribosomal RNA, 665 nt
Filed under: uncultured bacterium
Lineage: Bacteria
Description: bacterial SSU rRNA
Rfam family: Bacterial small subunit ribosomal RNA
Source: RNAcentral
GUGAGUAACGCGUGGGCAACCUGCCCUAGAGACUGGGAUAACCUGCCGAAAGGAAGGCUAAUACCGGAUAUGCUCUUAGUGCCACCUGGCACAGAGAGGAAAGAAAUUCGCUCUGGGAGGGGCCCGCGUCCCAUUAGCUAGUUGGAGAGGUAACAGCUCACCAAGGCCACGAUGGGUAGCCGGUCUGAGAGGAUGAACGGCCACACUGGAACUGAGACACGGUCCAGACUCCUACGGGAGGCAGCAGUGGGGAAUCUUCCGCAAUGGACGCAAGUCUGACGGAGCAACGCCGCGUGGGUGAUGAAGGUUUUCGGAUUGUAAAGCCCUGUCUGGAGAGAAGAAUAAAUGACGGUAUCUCCGGAGGAAGCCCCGGCUAACUACGUGCCAGCAGCCGCGGUAAUACGUAGGGGGCAAGCGUUGUCCGGAAUUACUGGGCGUAAAGAGCACGUAGGCGGUUUUUUAAGUCAGCUGUGAAAGAUCCCGGCUCAACCGGGAGAGUGCAAUUGAUACUGAGAGACUAGAGUGCAGGAGAGGAAAGUGGAAUUCCUAGUGUAGCGGUGAAAUGCGUAGAUAUUAGGAGGAACACCAGUGGCGAAGGCGACUUUCUGGACUGUAACUGACGCUGAGGUGCGAAAGCCAGGGGAGCAAACGGGAUUAGAUACCCC